Ixodes scapularis (black-legged tick) is the source of this 187-nucleotide non-coding RNA. The record is from Rfam. Lineage: Eukaryota; Metazoa; Arthropoda; Arachnida; Ixodida; Ixodidae.
AUUGCUUCUCGGCCUUUUGGCUAAGAUCAAUGAUAGUAUCUGUUCUUAUCAGCUUAAUAUCUGAUAUGGGCCUAAUUGGUCCAAAGAUAUUAAACUUAUUUUUGUAAGCGGUGUUCUUCCGAAGCUUGCUUCUAGGACGCCAGGGUUAGCCCGGUAUUGCACUACUUCCGGGAGUGACCCGUCCCCU